UACGGGGGGAGCAAGCGUUGUUCGGAAUUACUGGGCGUAAAGCGCACGUAGGCGGCUUUGUAAGUUAGAGGUGAAAGCCCGGAGCUCAACUCCGGAAUUGCCUUUAAGACUGCAUCGCUAGAAUUGUGGAGAGGUAAGUGGAAUUCCGAGUGUAGAGGUGAAAUUCGUAGAUAUUCGGAAGAACACCAGUGGCGAAGGCGACUUACUGGACACAUAUUGACGCUGAGGUGCGAAAGCGUGGGGAGCAAACAGG
RNAcentral lists this ribosomal RNA (253 nucleotides) under uncultured bacterium. RNAcentral describes it as "partial 16S ribosomal RNA". It matches the Rfam family "Bacterial small subunit ribosomal RNA", at positions 524 to 776 of the family's 1533-position model. The record is from RNAcentral.